GAAUAUUGCACAAUGGGGGCAACCCUGAUGCAGCCAUGCCGCGUGUGUGAAGAAGGCCUUCGGGUUGUAAACCCCUGUCAGAGGGAAAGAAGGGUGUCGGCGCGAUAACCGCCGGCACUUGACGGUACCUUCAGGGGAAGCCCCGGCCAACUCUGUGCCAGCCGCCGCGGUAAGACAGAGGGGGCAAGCGUUGCUCGGAAUCACUGGGCGUAAAGGGCGCGUAGGCGGGAUGGCAAGUCAGUCGUGAAAUCUCUCGGCUCAACCGAGAAACGUCGGCUGAUACUGCCGUUCUUGAGGGAUGCAGAGGAGACUGGAAUUCCCGGUGUAGCGGUGAAAUGUGUAGAGAUCGGGAGGAACACCGGUGGCGAAGGCGGGUCUCUGGGCAUUUCCUGACGCUGAGGCGCGAAAGCGUGGGGAGCAAACGGG
RNAcentral lists this ribosomal RNA (426 nucleotides) under uncultured bacterium. RNAcentral describes it as "bacterial SSU rRNA". It matches the Rfam family "Bacterial small subunit ribosomal RNA", at positions 359 to 776 of the family's 1533-position model. The record is from RNAcentral.